AAUCCAUUUCCUCCUUUGCAACAAGUUUAAAAAGACUGUCAGAACACUGUACUUUAAAGAAUGGGCUUAAAAGGCCCUGAGAGACAGAUCUGUGUGUGGAUUGACUAACAAAAUCAUACAGAAGAGGCUCUUAACUGAGGAAAAUCUUACCUGUAAAUGCACAGUAGAAAUUGGAGUAGUGAUGGAAACUUUGGCAAGAGACUAAACUGUUAUCUGUAUAAGCUACAUGACAAGAGAUAGAAUCAGCAUUCAAGUUUGAUACUGUACCACCAACGUGACUGAGAAUUAGGCCACGGACUUCAGUGGGAAUAGGAUCAGGCCCUUAGAUACCAAGAUCAUAGGCACCUUCGAAGUACCUAACACAGGUAAGAUAGAAACAAUGACAUCUGCUUUGAGAAGGAAUAAAAGGAAUCUCUCCUGAGCUCA
Molecule: long non-coding RNA, 426 nt
Filed under: Chrysemys picta bellii (western painted turtle)
Lineage: Eukaryota; Metazoa; Chordata; Testudines; Emydidae
Description: lncRNA (ENSCPBG00000010649.1)
Source: RNAcentral